RNAcentral lists this long non-coding RNA (461 nucleotides) under Cricetulus griseus (Chinese hamster). Its description in RNAcentral is "lncRNA (ENSCGRG00015037785.1)". The record is from RNAcentral. Lineage: Eukaryota; Metazoa; Chordata; Mammalia; Rodentia; Cricetidae.
CUCUCUAUUGUACCUGCUCCUGCUAUGGGACGACAUCUACUUGUGUGAUGCGGCCCUGCGGUCUCCAAAAGACACUUAAAUGCCACAUUUUGGACCUCCAGAGAUGUGAGCAGUGUUUCACUGAACCCUGAGCUCACCGAUUUGGCAAAAGUGGCCCACCAGCAAGCUCCAAGGAUCCUCCUGUCUCACUUUUGGAGGUUGAAUUCAGCUGAGUCUUGUCCAUUCCAUGGUCACAAUCACAGUCAGUCACUGAGAGAAGUCCACGCAGGAACUCAAGCAAGGAGCCGGGAACUGAAGCAGGAUUGAAGCAGCAGCCAUGGAGACACGUUCCUCAUGAGCUCCCUCCCCAAGGCUUGCACCACUUGUUAUCUUAUACAACCCAGAACCACUGACUCAGGUGUGACACCACCCAGAGUGGGGUUGGGACCUCCCAUACCAGUCAUUAAUAAAGAAAAUGCUCC